GGUUUCUUUGUAAAACUAAAAUCCAUCGGAGACCCAGAGGGAAUUCUCAAAUUAGCGAGCGAGUGGUCAUCUGCUUUGUGUCCAAAGCUUGACCAACCAAACGGACCGAACUACCAGUGAACUUUUAAGCUCCGCAAAUAUAUACACACAGCCUUCUGUGUAAAACCCUCCGUCUUUUUGAAAAACUUCACUUUAACUACAAUCACACUUGUCAAUCCCAAAACUCCAGUACUUUUUAUUUUCUCUCCGAGGCUUUUAAGAAAACAGUUUUAAAAAGGAUCUGGGAGGCAGUGCUUGCGGUGGACUUCUGAUCUUCAUGACUUUUUUGUGGAUGCUGUUAUGUAACUUGUUGGACCCGAAAGUGACUGUUUCUAUUUAAAAUUAACCAUUUGCAGGUGCAAUCCUCUGGAUGCGACUAGAAAUUUGUGCACACAGACAUGCAAAUAUUGAUGUUGAUGUAUCUGAUUCCUGAAAGCGAUUGCAAUUUGUCUUCAUUCUUUUUGUAGAAUUACCAUCUUGAAAAGUUGCAGCAGAAUCUCCUGCUAAAUAUUCUAAUAGUGAGAGGACAGUCUCUGGAGAGAGCCUGUCUGGUGUGGAUUUUUCCUGGGAAGUGUGCUAAUUAAUGAAGCGUUGACAAUACAAAUGGAGGUUCAAAAACAUCUUCAUGCGCAGCUUGAGGUGCAAAAACAGUUACAAGUUAGAAUUGAAGCUCAGGGGAAAUACUUGGAGAGGAUCAUUGAGGAGCAGCAAAAACUUGGAGGUGCACUAAAAGCCCCUAAAGCUGUACUAUCAGCUGCUGACAAGGGCAAUUCAUCACUUUCACAGCCUCCUCCUGAUGCCCCUGUGGAAUCCUCUUCCUGAUCUAUUGGGAUGGCUCACAAAUUUAUCUAUUGAAAGCAUGAUUUCGGUGGUUAAAUUAAAGUCGGUAUGGUUCUGAUGCGAUAUUUAAUGUGUUGUUAAAGUAAGACUCCCCAAACUGUGAGCUAAAAAAUGUUUAUCACUGUAGAUAAAAUGUUUACUUUAUGUAAAUUAUUAACUUAAAUGUAUUUUAUUCGUAAUAAAAUGCAUAAUUAGUUAGUUUUUCUGUUUGUACAA
Long non-coding RNA from Mangifera indica (mango), 1095 nucleotides. RefSeq lists it as uncharacterized. The record is from RefSeq and is a predicted model, not a curated record. NCBI's taxonomy places the organism in Eukaryota, Viridiplantae, Streptophyta, Magnoliopsida, Sapindales, Anacardiaceae. The transcript has 6 exons.